CAGUAGCCACGGGAAUACGAAGGGGGCUAGCGUUGUUCGGAAUUACUGGGCGUAAAGCGCACGUAGGCGGACAUUUAAGUCAGGGGUGAAAUCCCGGGGCUCAACCCCGGAACUGCCUUUGAUACUGGGUGUCUAGAGUAUGGAAGAGGUGAGUGGAAUUCCGAGUGUAGAGGUGAAAUUCGUAGAUAUUCGGAGGAACACCAGUGGCGAAGGCGGCUCACUGGUCCAUUACUGACGCUGAGGUGCGAAAGCGUGGGGAGCAAACAGGAUUAGAUACCCCAGUAGUCCCUGUCUCUUAUAC
Molecule: ribosomal RNA, 301 nt
Filed under: uncultured bacterium
Lineage: Bacteria
Description: partial 16S ribosomal RNA
Rfam family: Bacterial small subunit ribosomal RNA
Source: RNAcentral